This 316-nucleotide long non-coding RNA is filed under the name Nicotiana benthamiana. RNAcentral's name for it is "long non-coding RNA (NBEN_LNC021489)". The record is from RNAcentral. Lineage: Eukaryota; Viridiplantae; Streptophyta; Magnoliopsida; Solanales; Solanaceae.
ACACAUAACAGUAAUCAUUUUAGCUAGUUCUUCACGAUCCUUAUUUGGAUCGUAAUACAAUAUACCUCCGGUGACUGUGUUUAUUCCUGGUUGAACUUGAUUAGAACCAGUACUUGGGUUAACUGUUGUUUCAGGACUUGUCCUCCCCUCUUGUUGCGCUCUUAAUUGGAUAUAUCUAGCCUUAUCGCUAGGGUGUAAUUUUAUAUGUUUAACUAACCUACAUGUGCCGCUACAAUCUCCAGUAUACCUAUGCACAAGUAAUUUCCCACAAGAUUUACACUUAGCCUUAUUUUGUUCUCUUAGUUGAAUAAAAAAU